This 71-nucleotide transfer RNA is filed under the name Loxodonta africana (African savanna elephant). It matches the Rfam family "tRNA". From Rfam's summary of the family: Transfer RNA (tRNA) molecules are approximately 80 nucleotides in length. Their secondary structure includes four short double-helical elements and three loops (D, anti-codon, and T loops). Further hydrogen bonds mediate the characteristic L-shaped molecular structure. tRNAs have two regions of fundamental functional importance: the anti-codon, which is responsible for specific mRNA codon recognition, and the 3' end, to which the tRNAs corresponding amino acid is attached (by aminoacyl-tRNA synthetases). tRNAs cope with the degeneracy of the genetic code in two manners: having more than one tRNA (with a specific anti-codon) for a particular amino acid; and 'wobble' base-pairing, i.e. permitting non-standard base-pairing at the 3rd anti-codon position. Lineage: Eukaryota; Metazoa; Chordata; Mammalia; Proboscidea; Elephantidae. The record is from Rfam by way of RNAcentral.
GGAUUUGUGGUUCAGCAGUAGAAUUCUUGCCUUCUAUAUGGGAGACCCAGGUUCCAUUCCUGGCCAAUACA